Long non-coding RNA from Liolophura sinensis, 958 nucleotides. RefSeq lists it as uncharacterized. NCBI's taxonomy places the organism in Eukaryota, Metazoa, Mollusca, Polyplacophora, Chitonida, Chitonidae. The record is from RefSeq and is a predicted model, not a curated record. The transcript has 3 exons.
GGGAAGACAACUAUGAAGCAGAACUGUGUGCAAAGAAGAGGGAAAGCUUACUAUGUCGGGGUUUCAGGACACUUCGAUUUACCCACAAAUAGUCUUGUUGAUUGCCAUAACUAACGCCGUGUUUCUGGUCUCGGGUUUUGCUUCUUCCUGUUGGCAAUUUUUACAAUCAAAUGAAACUUAUGUAAGUUAUGGGCUGUGGUUCCGGUGUACGGAAUCCACAAAUAGAACGCUAGAUUGUCUGAUUUACGGCAACAUCGAUGGACAAGGGUCAAGCUAUUCAGACAAUCUCAGGACUUCCCGUGCACUGGAAUCAACAGGCUACAUUUGCUUAUGCCUGUGUUGCGCAUUCAAUUUUGUCUAUAUCUGCUCAACCACAUUCAAGCACAAAGCCUUUGCCAUUUUCUUGACCAUCCUUUCCUACACUACAGUUGGAACGAUGUUUGCUGGCAUUGUCCUGUACGGGACCAGGCUGGUGUUACCUAACUUUACCUUAGGCUGGUCUUUCGCCCUAACAGCCCUGGCCUCAAUCUUCUGCAUUCCAACUGCUGUCCUCCAGACCAUGGAAAUAUUUCACAAAUAUGCAAGUUAGGAAUUUAAUUCUGAGCUUAAAUUUUCAGUUUUGACAAAAUUUCAAAAUUGGGAUUGAACACAUUUGUACUGAAAGGCAUGACUUAACAAAGAUUUAGGUAAGAACCUGUGCCAAAGCCUAUUUUAUUUCAGGGGGUUGUCUUCCUGGUAAUAACUCAUGUGAAAAGAAAGCCAUGGAAAUUCAGUCAACUCAGUCAGAUAGUCAGUUGUUAAAGAAGAAAAUUAUUAUUCAUUGACCUGUUGAUCGGUGCUAUUUAUAUGAACUAGUUUAUAUUUGGUGAUAUAACACAGAAGUUAUUGCUCAUGUUUACUGUUGUUAAAAAACGUUUUUGUUCAGAUUAUGUUAAGUUGAAUAAAGUUCCCCGAAUAA